Molecule: ribosomal RNA, 686 nt
Filed under: Colletotrichum gloeosporioides
Lineage: Eukaryota; Fungi; Ascomycota; Sordariomycetes; Glomerellales; Glomerellaceae
Description: mitochondrial SSU rRNA
Rfam family: Bacterial small subunit ribosomal RNA
Source: RNAcentral
ACAGCAGUGGGGAAUUUUGGUCAAUGGCCUAAGGGCUGAACUGGCAAUUUGGGUAAACGAAACAGAAUUGUAACUUACUAAAAUAAAGUUUUAAGUACGUAUUAAUAAUGAUAAUAUGUAUAAAAGUCUUGACCAAUUACGUGCCAGCAGUCGCGGUAAUACGUAGGAGACGAGCAUUAUUCAUAUUAAAUAGGUUUAAAGGGUACCCAAACGGUCAAAAUACCUGAAAUAUAGGAGUACUUGACUAGAGUUAUAUGUAAGAAGACCGUACUUGAGGUGGAGAGAUUAUAUUUUAUGAUACCAAAAGGACUGAUAACGGCGAAGGCUGUCUUUUAUGUAAUAACUGACGUUGAAGGACGAAGGCAUAGAUAACUAACAGGAUUCGUUACCCUAGUAGUCUUUGCAGACAAUGAUGAAUGCCAUUAACUAGAUACUAAUUUUAGUUAUAUAAAUGAAAAUGAAAGCAUUUCACCUCAAGAGUAAUGUGGCAACGCAGGAACUGAAAUCACUAGACCGUUUCUGACACCAGUAGUGAAGUAUGUUAUUUAAUUCGAUGAUCCACGAAAAACCUUACCACAACUUGAAUAUUUAUGGCGCCGCCAUAAAAACAGGAGUUGCACGGCUGUUUUCAGUUAAUGUUGUGAAACUGUGGUUUUUCCAUGAAAUUAACAGAAUCCUUUGCUUUA